Rhineura floridana is the source of this 899-nucleotide long non-coding RNA. RefSeq lists it as uncharacterized. NCBI's taxonomy places the organism in Eukaryota, Metazoa, Chordata, Lepidosauria, Squamata, Rhineuridae. The transcript is spliced from 4 exons. The record is from RefSeq and is a predicted model, not a curated record.
UUUCAAGGGGGCUUUACAUGAAUGCUGUUGAUAAAAAUUGUUCAGAGGAACUGGAUAAAAAAUGAUAACAUCAACUUGGGCAGCUUAAACUUUCUUGUUAAUUCUGACCGAAAUCUAAUACCCUGAAUCAAAAUCACCACAAGCCAAUAAAUGUGGAAUUAGUACCAAGGGAAAUUGUAACUUUUAAAAGGAGGCCACAAGGGAGGAGGUGGAGAGCCAGAUGGUCAUGGAGAAGGCAGUAGUAUAGUGGAGAUGAAGAGCUGUGGAGAUUCACAAAAUUGAAGGGGAGACUUGUAGGUCAUCUAGUCCAGCCCCUACUUGAUGCAAGAAAGCCAAGGAGAGAAGAUCCCCAACAGAUGGCUAACCUACUUCUAUUUUAAGACCUCCAGGGGAGGGGAGCUGACCUUGCUUACAUGGUCCAACUGUUAAGCUGCUCUUAUCUUUUUGGGACAUUUUCCCCACAACUAAAAUCUACCCUCCUGUAACUUAAGCCCAUUAGAUCCAGUCCUAACCCAGAGGUCUUUGUACUCUUCUAUGUGGCAACCCCAGAGUUAUUUGAAGACUACCAUCAUGUACCCUCACUCAAGACUUUUCUAGAAUAAACUUACCCAGUUCACUUAAACUUUCAUCAUAGAACUUGUUUUCCAAACCCCUGAUGAUCUUCAGUGUUGUCCUCUGAACACAUUCCAAUUUGUCUAGAUCAGCACCCAGAACUGGAUGCAGUGCUCCAACUGAGGCCUGACUAGUGCAGAAUUAUGUGAACAUUUACUUAUGACUUGCAAACUCCAGUUCUAAUGAACACACCCUAAAAUUGGUUUUGCCUUUGUGCUCCCACUGGAAGCUUCCCCCCCAAGCAAACUACAGGGGCAGGAGUGAUGCAGUUCAUGACUCAAAGGGCU